This 483-nucleotide ribosomal RNA is filed under the name uncultured bacterium. RNAcentral describes it as "bacterial SSU rRNA". It matches the Rfam family "Bacterial small subunit ribosomal RNA", at positions 29 to 482 of the family's 1533-position model. The record is from RNAcentral.
AAUGAACGCUGGCGGCAGGCCUAACACAUGCAAGUCGUACGAGAAAGUUCAGCUUCGGCCGAACGAGUAAAGUGGCGCACGGGUGAGUAACGCGUGGGUAAUCUACCCUCGGGCUGGGGAUAACAUUCCGAAAGGGAUGCUAAUACCGAAUAACACUUACUUUCUGCGGUUAAGUAAGUCAAAGGUGGCCUCUACAUGUAAGCUACCACCUGAGGAUGAGCUCGCGUCCCAUUAGCUUGUUGGUGAGGUAACGGCUCACCAAGGCCGCGAUGGGUAGCUGGUCUGAGAGGAUGAUCAGCCACACUGGGACUGGAACACGGCCCAGACUCCUACGGGAGGCAGCAGUGAGGAAUCUUGCGCAAUGGGGGAACCCUGACGCAGCCAUGCCGCGUGAGUGAAGAAGGUUUUUUCGGAUCGUAAAAGCUCUGUCAGAAGGGAAGAACCCGGUUAAGACUAAUAAUCUUAUCCGCUGACGGUACCUUC